This 471-nucleotide ribosomal RNA is filed under the name Perinereis vancaurica. RNAcentral's name for it is "partial large subunit ribosomal RNA". It matches the Rfam family "Bacterial large subunit ribosomal RNA", at positions 1831 to 2597 of the family's 2925-position model. Lineage: Eukaryota; Metazoa; Annelida; Polychaeta; Phyllodocida; Nereididae. The record is from RNAcentral.
CGCCUAUUGAACAUAUAAUAGGUCCAUCCUGCCCAGUGAAUUUUAUUUCAACGGCCGCGGUAUCCUGACCGUGCAAAGGUAGCAUAAUCAUUUGCCUUUUAAUUGAAGGCUAGUAUGAAAGGACACACAAGAAUAACUCUGUCUCAUCUGGACCCCCUUAAACCUGAACUCUAGGUGAAGAUGCCUAGAUUUAUAUAAAGGACAAGAAGACCCUAUAGAGCUUUCCUAGUUACAGUUAUUAUACUUAAUACUAGUUUGGUUGGGACAACCAAAAGACAUUAAUACCUCUUUUCUCAUAAAUUCAACUCACACCCACUUAUGAACUUGAAAUUCAAGCUACCUUAGGGAUAACAGGCUAAUCCCACUAGAGAGAUCACAUUGACAGUGGGGAUUGGCACCUCGAUGUUGGCUUAGUGUUACCAUUAGGCGCAGCCGCUUAAUUGAGUUGGUUUGUUCAACCAUUAAAUCACU